Molecule: ribosomal RNA, 253 nt
Filed under: uncultured bacterium
Lineage: Bacteria
Description: partial 16S ribosomal RNA
Rfam family: Bacterial small subunit ribosomal RNA
Source: RNAcentral
UACGAAGGGGGCUAGCGUUGCUCGGAAUCACUGGGCGUAAAGCGCACGUAGGCGGAUUUCUAAGUCAGGGGUGAAAUCCUGGAGCUCAACUCCAGAACUGCCUUUGAUACUGGGAAUCUCGAGUCCGGGAGAGGUGAGUGGAACUGCGAGUGUAGAGGUGAAAUUCGUAGAUAUUCGCAAGAACACCAGUGGCGAAGGCGGCUCACUGGCCCGGUACUGACGCCGAGGUGCGAAAGCGUGGGGAGCAAACAGG